Molecule: long non-coding RNA, 2615 nt
Filed under: Zea mays
Lineage: Eukaryota; Viridiplantae; Streptophyta; Magnoliopsida; Poales; Poaceae
Description: long non-coding RNA (ZMAY_LNC005214)
Source: RNAcentral
AUGAAUCGUGGUACAGAAACGAAUGUCACAUCUUUUCUAUAUAAUAGGAGUUCUGUACAAAAUAAAUAAAUAAUUACAUCAUAAGGAGACAACGAUCUAGCAACCCAAAUUUGAAUGGGAGACGACGACCUAGACCUCUCACGAACUUGUCACAGCAUCCUCCAUGCGCCUCAUCCUGCGGUACCUGUUCUUGACCUGUGUGGGGUGUGAGACAGCACUAGUAAGCUCACAUACGUUCAUCACUCAACAAGUUGUGGGGAAUAAUGUGCAUGAACUCGCCAAAGGUGGGAGCUCAUGUGAAGUGUAAGGCUUACCAAAGAGGAAGAUUAAAGCUGAGCAUUGCUUUUAAAGUUAGUCAAAAUUUUAUUAGCAAUUACUAAGUAUAAGUAGAUACCAACCCAAUUAAGUAGUAGAACAAAAGUGAUAACAACACCUGCGAUGCAAUGCAAAUGACAAAUUGAAUUUUAGUUCCAUAAGUUAAUCAUGUUGGUGUCUGAGCUGCUCAUGACCGUGAGCAUGACUGAUAUAUCAGUUUUACACUCUGCAGAGGUUGCACAUCUUUACCCACAAGUCAUGUUACUCAUUUGCCAAGGGAUCGCGACUUCCCAUACACCUCUACUGAGGAGGCGAGACAGGGUAACACUACGAGGCCUUUACAAAGUUCCACUAGCUUCAGAAAACCCGCUACAGUUUCUACGAAGCUCCAAUGUAGGGACCCCUCGCCUGACCGCCAUCGCAGCAAAAUCAACCCAAGGGCUUCCCUACACUGACCACUCCCCUACUGCCCUUGCCCUUUCGGGUAAGGUAGUCAUCCACUAGCUUUCCUAAUUAGCCAGCCAAGGGCAUCCCAUACCACCCUUGUGGCAGCACUAUUUUCCCGAGUGGUUCUCCAUGUUCCAAUUAACAUAAUGAUCUUAUCAUGAACAGUAAAUAACAAACUGAUAAUAAAAGUAUGAUCAUGAAUAAUGUGUAUCUCCAUACCCCAAACCACAAUAAGCAAUAGCAGGUACUACCAAAAAAUUUAGUGGUAAACAAGGUAUAAAGAUAGCCAAACUAGAGUAACCUAUUGGGUCCCAUCAAAAUUAACCUAUGUAGAUCAUUAUGAUUAAUAAGAACAUUAUUGGGUAAAUAGAAGUGAUCAAGGGCACAACUUGCCUGGGACUUGAGAUUUCCAGGUACCAGGAUGCUCUUCAGAUGACUCGUAACCUCGCUCUAGUCGUAGCAAUACAAACAAACAGUGUAUAGGAAAAAUUAACAUCACACCAAACAUAAGGAAAAACUGAAUAAUAAUGAUCUACGCGUCGUAACGAGAUCGUGGGAACGAGAAUCACUAAAUUCGGAGUUACGGUUAUCAAGUUAUGAUUUUCUGAAGUUAUUAAGUGCUUGGUAUGAAAUAAAUUAAGUAGACAAUUUUAGUCUAUGUUUCAUGCCUAAACAAAGUUACUAGGUGAUAAACAGUAUUAAAACAAAAUUAAUGCCACUGGAAUGGAUUAAAAGAGCUAAGAUGAAUUUUCUAUAGAUUAAAUAAGUUCUAGAAUUAUUUUGGCACUAGAAAUCCAUUUUCUAAAUUAUUUUUCCUAUUUUCUCAGAGCUCUGGACUGUGCACACAAUAAUCAGGAAGUUCAGGGGGUCGAUUUGCAAAUUUUAGGACACAUUUGCAGUUUACUAUGCGCUUCCUGUGGACGGCGAGUUGAAUAACUAGAAGAACAUGGACUCUUUUGAAUUUAUGUGCGGCCGAAGGGGUAUCUGCGAACCACGACCACCCAAAUAUAAUCCUACUGCCCAUAUUAAACCGAUCCCAUACAUGAACCGGUAUGCGAUGAUGGCCGCAGGGUCAUAGAUCCACGACCAAGAUUCAUGUACUGAAUCGAUUUCGUCCUUUUUAAUCUCGUUCGCUCGCUAGAUGAUCUACGGACACCAUUGCCCCUGACCAAAGUGUUGCGCUCCACUAAUUUGGUGCGCCCAUCACCGGAUCAACGAUCCGAGUCUCGUCUGCUUCUUUCCUCCGUCCACCGCAACAGUGAGCUAGAGCACCGCCGCAACCCAGCCGGGGCACAUGGAUAGGCGACUCCGGGUUCUAAUCUCUCUCUAGAUCUCAGGUGAACGAUGCCAUGACCACCCCGAAUCACAUGAACUACCGCAUAAAUCCUAAUCUCGAGCUCAAACUCCUGAUUACGACACCACGUGGUGUGCCACGACGGCGCUCAAGGCUCAACCACGGCAAGGCACCACCACCUCACCCAACACCCUGAACCGCUCCAACACAAGCGCAGAACACGCAAGGGAGUAUGAUGAACGAUAGGGCAAAUACUUUACCUUGAAUUGCGUCGCGAUAGCUUCUGUUCAUGCGGCGCAGGAGCGCCACGGCGGCAUCUAAGCACCGGCGAGAAAUUGCCCAGCGCUUACACCAACCCCGAGCACGGCGAGGCCACGUACAUCACCGAUGCACCCCGGCGAAUCACCCAGACCAGUCCCCGAGGGAUCGACGAUGGCACACACGAGGGACGGCGUUUGCGACACCCGCCACCAUACCCGACGAUGGCGAUGAAGUCUGAUUCCAAGGGAUUCGGCCAGCAGCGAGAUUCACGGCAAGGGAAUUUGUCCGCCCAACACGC